Molecule: ribosomal RNA, 509 nt
Filed under: Americardia biangulata
Lineage: Eukaryota; Metazoa; Mollusca; Bivalvia; Cardiida; Cardiidae
Description: partial 16S ribosomal RNA
Rfam family: Bacterial large subunit ribosomal RNA
Source: RNAcentral
UCGCCUGUUUAUCAAAAACAUCUCUUCUUGAAAUUUGGAUAAGAAGUAGGCCCUGCCCGGUGACUUAGUUGUUAAACGGCGGUUAGUUCCUUAAAGUAGCGUAAUCAAUCGGCCUUUAAUUGGGGUCUAGUAUGAAUGGGUUGACGUCGGAGUGACUUUCUUACGGGAAAUUGGCGAAAUUUACAUCCUCGUGAAAAGGCCAGGUUGCUUUUAAUAGACGAGAAGACCCCGUCGAGCUCGUUAACUCUAAUUAAGGGCUUGGUCAGAGUAGAUUUGUUGGGGAAACAGCGGAGAAAGUAAACCUCCGCCACUUUGAGUGCAGGUCCUAUAUUUAUGGCGGCGAGAACUAGUUACCGCGGGGAUAACAGCGCGAGACUGCCCGGAAGGUCAUAUUUAAGGCAGUAUUUGCGACCUCGAUGUUGGAUUAGAUUAUCUACCAGGCGCAGAAGCUUGGCCAGAGGGUCUGUUCGACCCUUAAACGUCUACAUGAUCUGAGUUCAAACCGGAGA